CCUUUCUACGGAGAUUUCUUGGAAUCCUCGCGUUGUUUGACGUGGGGUCGUGGCCCUGGCGGCCGCCGUUGGGCGGGCGCGCGUGGGCUGUUCCACUGGUGCGGAAGCGAUCAUCGCUGUGGGUGGUAUGGGCAUGCUGUUGGGUUCCCGGGCCGCUGUUCGCGGCGCCUGGGCGCCAUCCAUGGCUGGCUGGCCCUUCGUGGGUCGUGUCGGCGGUGGCGUGGUGGUGGCUUGAGAACUGGAUAGUGGACGCGAGCGAUCAUGGCUGGCCGUUGGCUGGUCGUGGUUGCUGCAUGUUUUUCGCCGGGCCUCUGUUGUUCAGGGGUCUGGUUGAUCGUUUGAUGUGUUUUUGUGAUCUUGAUUGUGUUGAUGUGUCGUCUGGUAGGCUGUGCGCCGCGUCGUGGUCCCGGGGGUUCGCCCUUGGGGGUCG
Molecule: unclassified non-coding RNA, 430 nt
Filed under: Bifidobacterium actinocoloniiforme DSM 22766
Lineage: Bacteria; Bacillati; Actinomycetota; Actinomycetes; Bifidobacteriales; Bifidobacteriaceae
Description: partial 16S-23S ribosomal RNA
Source: RNAcentral